CCAUGCUGCACGCCGAGCUCAUCGAUCGAUCGAGGCUCUGCUUGACUUCCAUGCUCUCCGCCGCCCACCCGGCUCACCCAGCCAGCUACUGCUGGGUACCCAACCGAGCCUUCGGUACUCGAAGUUUACUUCCGAGCGCCUCCCUGACAUGGGAUCUGGAACAGGUCGGGCUGAGUGGCGAUUAAGUGCUCGCCGCUGCUGAGCGACCCGGGUCCAAGCAAGGAAAAGGAGGGAAGAAGAUAGGGUCCUGGUGUCUGUCAGACCUGGAGAAGAAGAUAAGGGACUGAGAGGUCCACAGGGCUGGAUUGCACGCUCCGCUCCUUGGACCGCAAUACCUGGAUCAAGAGACAGAGCCAGUACGCCCUCUGGUGGGUCCUCAGCGAUUCCGCAAAGGCGCGGAGAUGGGAGCCCCGGGGGAGCCCAGCGCUCUAGUUACGCUGGAGGCCCGGAAGAUAAGGAAGGGUGGCAGCUGGUCCAGCUGAGGGUGGGGCUGGGGAGUGUGGAUCGUCGCGGGGGACCCCAGCAGGCACCGAGCGUCGAAUCCUCUCCCACAGCAGGAUAUUUUG
This is a long non-coding RNA of Hipposideros armiger (great roundleaf bat), 566 nucleotides long. RefSeq lists it as uncharacterized. The record is from RefSeq and is a predicted model, not a curated record. The transcript is spliced from 3 exons. Lineage: Eukaryota; Metazoa; Chordata; Mammalia; Chiroptera; Hipposideridae.